GCCGAGGUAGCUCAGUUGGUUAGAGCGCAGGAUUCAUAACCCUGAGGUGACGGGUUCAAUUCCCGUCCUCGGUA
RNAcentral lists this transfer RNA (74 nucleotides) under Niastella sp. Its description in RNAcentral is "tRNA-Met". It matches the Rfam family "tRNA". Rfam says of the family: Transfer RNA (tRNA) molecules are approximately 80 nucleotides in length. Their secondary structure includes four short double-helical elements and three loops (D, anti-codon, and T loops). RNAcentral also lists the same sequence under 2 other names. Lineage: Bacteria; Pseudomonadati; Bacteroidota; Chitinophagia; Chitinophagales; Chitinophagaceae. The record is from RNAcentral.